AACAUCGCGCACCUGCGGGAACCUGCGGAAGGAUCAUUACUGAGAUGGCUGAGCGUCUUCGCUACUGGCAAGAUGCAGAAACCAGUCCUUAUCCCAGUCCCACUGUGAACGGUGGAGGUUGCUGCAUCCGCUCUGUGCCAUUUUGUGUGCUCCAGGGGUAUCCCGGAUGUGGGCGGCCUUCAAUUUUUAUAAUCCUGUUUUUCCCUAUUGCCAGAACAACUCUUCUGUUGACAGUGAGCU
This 240-nucleotide unclassified non-coding RNA is filed under the name soil metagenome. Its description in RNAcentral is "partial contains 5.8S ribosomal RNA, internal transcribed spacer 2, and large subunit ribosomal RNA". The record is from RNAcentral.